Long non-coding RNA from Ornithodoros turicata, 476 nucleotides. RefSeq lists it as uncharacterized. The record is from RefSeq and is a predicted model, not a curated record. Lineage: Eukaryota; Metazoa; Arthropoda; Arachnida; Ixodida; Argasidae. The transcript is spliced from 3 exons.
CAAUAUCCAACAGCAAGUUCAUGCUACGAGAACCAAACCCAGAGGUCACCAUGCAUUUGCGAACAACCGAUAGAAAGUAGCCAUCAAAGUAUAUUGGAUGACUCUAUUGGCUCUACUGAUGAUCACAUGGAUGGGGACAGCUCCGAGAUUUCGGAUAAUUCUACCAGCUCUACUGAUGAUGACACAGAUGGGGACAGCUCUGCUGCAACUUCUUCUACCUUUGAUCCCAGCUGUGGGACUGAGAACAGCAGCAAACAGACACUGGACAAUCCCCUGUAUGAGAAUUCACGCCUCACCCAAGCUGCCAGCCUCCUGUUGAUUAUGGCGCAUGUGCUGAGGUACCAUGACUCAAAGGAAGCAACAGAAAGCCUGCUAAAAAUUAUUGAAGCACACCUUCCUGAGGAAACAAACUUUCCAACCACAAAGUACGUUUUCUUUAAGCACUUUAAUGCGAGUAAACAGCUCCUAAAAGCUCA